RNAcentral lists this ribosomal RNA (253 nucleotides) under uncultured bacterium. Its description in RNAcentral is "partial 16S ribosomal RNA". It matches the Rfam family "Bacterial small subunit ribosomal RNA", at positions 524 to 776 of the family's 1533-position model. The record is from RNAcentral.
UACGUAGGGUGCAAGCGUUGUCCGGAAUUAUUGGGCGUAAAGAGCUCGUAGGCGGUUUGUUGCGUCGGCUGUGAAAUCCCGAGGCUCAACCUCGGGUCUGCAGUCGAUACGAGCAAACUAGAGUGUUGCAAGGGAGACUGGAAUUCCUGGUGUAGCGGUGAAAUGCGCAGAUAUCAGGAGGAACACCGGUGGCGAAGGCGGGUCUCUGGGCAACAACUGACGCUGAGGAGCGAAAGCGUGGGGAGCGAACAGG